GACGAACGCUGGCGGCGUGCCUAAUACAUGCAAGUCGAGCGCAGGAAAUCGACGGAACCCUUCGGGGGGAAGUCGACGGAAUGAGCGGCGGACGGGUGAGUAACACGUAAAGAACCUGCCCUCAGGUCUGGGAUAACCACGAGAAAUCGGGGCUAAUCACGGAUGGGUCAUCGGACCGCAUGGUCCGAGGAUGAAAGGCGCUUCGGCGUCGCCUGGGGAUGGGUUUGCGGUGCAUUAGCUAGUUGGUGGGGUAAUGGCCCAUCAAGGCGACGAUGCAUAGCCGACCUGAGAGGGGGAUCGGCCACACUGGGACUGAGACACGGCCCAGACUCCUACGGGAGGCAGCAGUAGGGAAUCUUCCACAAUGGACGAAAGUCUGAUGGAGCAACGCCGCGUGAACGAUGAAGGCCUUCGGGUCGUAAAGUUCUGUUGUAAGGGAAGAACAAGUGCCGCAGGCAAUGGCGGCACCUUGACGGUACCUUGCGAGAAAGCCACGGCUAACUACGUGCCAGCCGCCGCAGUAA
This 524-nucleotide ribosomal RNA is filed under the name uncultured bacterium. Its description in RNAcentral is "partial 16S ribosomal RNA". It matches the Rfam family "Bacterial small subunit ribosomal RNA", at positions 28 to 523 of the family's 1533-position model. The record is from RNAcentral.